This 253-nucleotide ribosomal RNA is filed under the name uncultured bacterium. Its description in RNAcentral is "partial 16S ribosomal RNA". It matches the Rfam family "Bacterial small subunit ribosomal RNA", at positions 524 to 776 of the family's 1533-position model. The record is from RNAcentral.
UACAGAGGUCUCAAGCGUUGUUCGGAUUCAUUGGGCGUAAAGGGUGCGUAGGUGGCGCUGUAAGUCAGGUGUGAAAUUUCGGAGCUCAACUCCGAAGCUGCAUUUGAUACUGCGGUGCUUGAGGACUGGAGAGGAGACUGGAAUUCACGGUGUAGCAGUGAGAUGCGUAGAUAUCGUGAGGAAGACCAGUGGCGAAGGCGGGUCUCUGGACAGUUCCUGACACUGAGGCACGAAGGCCAGGGGAGCAAACGGG